UCCCUCUCCUUUCUUUACACAGCUCCUAACUGACGGGCUGAACUGUUACAUUGGCCCAACCCAGCUCCAAGCUAACAUUUGCAUUUUAAAAAAGGACUACUGCUAAACUGCAUACAUUUUCACUUUAUUUAGUAAAUAGUGAGCGUAUCUAGUGUGAGAAACACUGAUGCAAUUUCCUGGGAGAAAAAGGGUAGGGGACCCAACAAUGAACAGCCCCCAGUUUUCUGCCCUUAGUGGUGUUUGCUGUCUCUUGGGGAAGACAGACAGACAAGCACACCAACCGCACAAAGAAGGAAGAGGCCUAGAAGGAGGAAGUGUUUUCUGUGGGCUGAGAAUGGAAAUGCUUGUCCGAGGUUCUCCGUGGGAACUUGGAAAUGUGUUGCUGCUUUUAAAUCCAAACCCAGAAACUUCUGCCCCCUGGUACAUAGUUGUAUAUUCUUCGUUGUGAGUCCUUCUAGUUGUGGCAUACGGGACGCUGCCUCAGCGUGGUUUGAUGAGCAGCGCCGUGUCCUCACCCAGGAUUCGAACCAACGAAACACUGGGCCGCCUGCAGCAGAGCGUGCAAACUUAACCACUCGGCCACGGGGCCAGCCCCUAGAUUUAGAAAUUUUUUCUGCACUCAGUGGAAAAUCACUCCCUUGUAUCAGAAAUAUCAAGAAGUUUAAUGAAGGCAAAGAUACAUCCCCUCUAGAGAGCCCAGAAAAGCUGAAUGGCUGGCUGCUCUGCACUCACCUCAACUGGGGACGCCUCAUGCCACCUCUGUAUAUCAGGUCUGCUCACCUGGGCUUUGCUGCCACCUAGGAUCUUCUGCAGUAAUUAUCUUGACCAAAAGCCACAAUGAGCUCCACAUUAGACCUGCAGGAUCUGACAGGUGGAAUGAACCCCUCCCAGCUCAUCUAGAUCUCUGCUCUAACUUUGAAGUGAGUGAACAAGUGGACGCGGAACCGUAUACUCUGGAGAAGGGUAUAAGGAGGAGAAAAAAAGGAUGAGCCCCAGCGAAGGCCUUCAAUUGAAAGGCAGGAGAAGGAUUCACCAUGGGGAACAAGAGGAGUAGUCAGAAGGCAAACCAUCAGAAACAGAAUCAUGCAGGGGAGGAGAAAUCUAAGACGGUAGGCGUGUCAAAAGUGCCAAAUAUUAUGGAGAGGUUAUAAAGAACAAGAAUGAAGAAAAAGUCAUUGGGCAAUUAAAAAAAAUAAGACAAAAUGUCUAUUACUAACCUAGACCAGCAGCAUAUUUUGGUUGGGCAAGAGUUGGGGAUCCACUGCAGCUUGGAAGAGUAGAUAACACCAAUCCCCAGCCUCGCACCAUUGGCAUGCUCCCUGAGCCCACUCCUCACAGCAUCCACUCACAUUAGUGCCUUGAAUUCUGCAGCAAACAAAGGUGAGAAGUGCCCCCUCAUAUCUAUUUGCAUAUACCAAUUUGCAUUUAAAACAAGAACUUUACCAGGUGUUAAAAGGGACUGGAAUUCUGAUCCUCAUUUAGAUUCAAGGAUGUUAGCAGCUAUCAAGCAUCCUCCUGGAACACAGUAGACCCUAAAAUGCUCAGUGAAUGCAACUCACAUAAAUAACCAAAUGCUUGACUUCAGAGAAGCAUUUAGAAUAAAUUGAUAGGAAAUCCACAGCAAAAACUAGAUAGCAAUGUGAGAACCCUCAAAAUGUCACUUCUCAUCUCUUCCUUGCAACUACUAUUGACCCUACAUGUCUCAGAUCACCAGACUAGGUCAGGAUCGGGGGGUUAGAAAAGUGAAGAGCUCACACCGCAUCAGCUCUGGCUUUAAAUGCCAAGAAUAGUGAUAGGGAUGUCACUAUCAAAGCCUCUUGAGACACUGACGCCACAGACAUUUGCACACCUGGCCUGGCCUCUGCCAGGCAAGAGCAAAUUUGCCUCUGCUCUUGACACCUACAUCUCAGACACUUUUAGUAGGCACUAGACACACAUCAGAGAACAAGGCCAGUCCUUGCUCUCCAGGAGUUUAUAGUCUAAAGCAGAAGGUUCAUAGAUGAACUUCAGGGUGUUCUGGGAAAUUCCUUAAGUUAUGUGCAAAAGAGUGCGUCUAUGUAGAUUGAGAGGGAGGUGGGAAGAGUCAAAUUCUCAAAUGACUUUGUGACUCAAAAAAGGUUAAGAAUCACUGACUUGGGACCAUCCAUUUCCCUCAUUUCUAAGUUGUCGCCAAGUGCCCCAAGCACUUAGAGCACCUCUGCAGAACCUUUGCUGUGUUGGUGACUUGCCUUCCUCUCCAGCUCAUGGCAGACUCCUGGUGGCAGGGGAGGGAAGCACACCUCAUGGUUGCCAUUGUCCCUACUUCCAGGGUCUCUGUCCAGGAAGGAUGAUUCAAUCCAGGGAUUGGCUACCCCUGCUCUUUUGGAUGACUUUGAGCUCAUCUGGUUGGCAGAUCACUGCCUACCCCCUGACAGGCAGAAUGACUAGAGAGGAAUGUUUAUCUUUCCAAAGUACUAUCUGCUUCCCAAGACUUCUCCAGACUAAACAUCCACUGACUAAGAUGGAAAAACACUUUUCUUUUACAAAAAGUCAAAGAGAGCUCAGCAAGUAGUUCAGACUAGGAGGAAGAGGGCAAAGGGAGUGAAUGCGCUGAGCUGAGCAUUUCUGGUCUAGCAGUCCUAUUUCUCAUGCAAAUUCAUAAUGUCAUUCUGAAAUGUCCAUCAUUCAAGUACAUUUUUGUUAGUGUGACUCCCUCUCAAAAUGUGACCACCCAACCCCAGAGACAACUUGCCCCUUCAAAGGGGAUGAACAGAUCCUCCUGGCCUCCCCUUGUAUGACUCCAUCAUUCUCCUCCUAGAUGCUUCACUAUUCUGCUGAUUUCUGUAAGACAUAAAAUACAUUUAGAG
This 2846-nucleotide long non-coding RNA is filed under the name Equus asinus (donkey). Its description in RNAcentral is "lncRNA (ENSEASG00005027938.1)". Lineage: Eukaryota; Metazoa; Chordata; Mammalia; Perissodactyla; Equidae. The record is from RNAcentral.